GACGAACGCUGGCGGCGGGCUUAACACAUGCAAGUCGAACGGAAAGGCCCUGCGUUCGUGGGGUGCCCGAUGGGCGAACGGGUGAGGAACACGUGAGUAACCUGCCCUUGACUUUGGUGUAACUUCAGGAAACUGGGGUUAAUACCGUAUAGGAGCUCCUGCAGGAGGGAGGGGGUUGGAAAGUUUCGGCGGGUGGGGAUGGACUCGCGGCUUAUCAGCUUGUUGGUGGGGUAGUGGCUUACCAAGGCUUUGACGGGUAGCCGGCCGGAGAGGGUGACCGGCCACCUUGGGACUGCGAGACGGACCAGACUCCUACGGGGGGCAGCAGUGGGGAAUAUUGCACAAUGGGCGGAAGCCUGAUGCAGCAACGCCGCGUGCGUGAUGACGGCCUUCGGGUUGUAAACCGCUUUCGCCUGUGACGAAGCGUGAGUGACGGUAAUGGGUAAAGAAGCACCGGCUAACUACGUG
RNAcentral lists this ribosomal RNA (468 nucleotides) under uncultured bacterium. RNAcentral describes it as "partial 16S ribosomal RNA". It matches the Rfam family "Bacterial small subunit ribosomal RNA", at positions 28 to 507 of the family's 1533-position model. The record is from RNAcentral.